Molecule: ribosomal RNA, 576 nt
Filed under: uncultured eukaryote
Lineage: Eukaryota
Description: SSU rRNA
Rfam family: Eukaryotic small subunit ribosomal RNA
Source: RNAcentral
UAUUUAUUAGAUAAAAAACCAACGCCCUUCGGGGCUCCUUGGUGAAUCAUAAUAACUUAACGAAUCGCAUGGCCUUGCGCCGGCGAUGGUUCAUUCAAAUUUCUGCCCUAUCAACUUUCGAUGGUAGGAUAGUGGCCUACCAUGGUGGCAACGGGUAACGGGGAAUUAGGGUUCGAUUCCGGAGAGGGAGCCUGAGAAACGGCUACCACAUCCAAGGAAGGCAGCAGGCGCGCAAAUUACCCAAUCCCGAUACGGGGAGGUAGUGUCAAUAAAUACUGAUACGGGGCUCUUUUGGGUCUCGUAAUUGGAAUGAGAACAAUUUAAAUCCCUUAACGAGGAACAAUUGGAGGGCAAGUCUGGUGCCAGCAGCCGCGGUAAUUCCAGCUCCAAUAGCGUAUAUUAAAGUUGUUGCAGUUAAAAAGCUCGUAGUUGAACCUUGGGUCUGGCUGGCCGGUCCGCCUCACCGCGAGUACUGGUCCGGCUGGACCUUUCCUUCUGGGGAACCUCAUGGCCUUCACUGGCUGUGGGGGGAACCAGGACUUUUACUGUGAAAAAAUUAGAGUGUUCAAAGCAGGC